CCGAGUUUACAACUCCCAAACCCCUGUGAACAUACCACUAGUUGCCUCGGCGGAUCAGCCCGCUCCCGGUAAAACGGGACGGCCCGCCAGAGGACCCCUAAACUCUGUUUCUAUAUGUAACUUCUGAGUAAAACCAUAAAUAAAUCA
RNAcentral lists this unclassified non-coding RNA (147 nucleotides) under soil metagenome. RNAcentral describes it as "partial internal transcribed spacer 1". The record is from RNAcentral.